UGAUUGGAAAUUUCGUUGACU
Molecule: microRNA, 21 nt
Filed under: Arabidopsis thaliana (thale cress)
Lineage: Eukaryota; Viridiplantae; Streptophyta; Magnoliopsida; Brassicales; Brassicaceae
Description: ath-miR779.2
Gene: ath-miR779.2
Source: miRBase by way of RNAcentral